AGCGAACGCUGGCGGCAGGCUUAACACAUGCAAGUCGAGCGGGCCCUUCGGGGUCAGCGGCCGACGGGUGAGUAACCGGUGGGAACGUACCCUUUGGUUCGGAAUAUCUCUGGGAAACUAGUGCUAAUACCGGAUACGCCCUUUUGGGGAAAGCCUUAUUGGCGAAGGAGCGUCCCUAGUCUGAUUAGAUUUUUGGGUGGGUAAUAGACUACAGAGGCGGAGAUCAGUAGCUGGGCUGAGAGGAUGAUCAGCAAUCCUGGGAGUGAGAGACGGCCCAGACUUCUACGGGAGGCAGAAGUGGGGAAGAUUCGACACUGGGCGCAAGCUUGAGCCAGCCAGGCCGUGAGAGUGAUUAAGGCGUUAGGAUCGUAAAGCUCUUUUGUUAGGGACGACAAGGACGUAACCGGAAGAAUAAGCCCCGCUUACCUCCGU
RNAcentral lists this ribosomal RNA (432 nucleotides) under uncultured bacterium. RNAcentral's name for it is "partial 16S ribosomal RNA". It matches the Rfam family "Bacterial small subunit ribosomal RNA", at positions 29 to 506 of the family's 1533-position model. The record is from RNAcentral.